Enhydra lutris kenyoni (northern sea otter) is the source of this 3113-nucleotide RNA transcript. It is a transcript of the gene named SFT2 domain containing 1, with no coding region annotated. The transcript is spliced from 6 exons. NCBI's taxonomy places the organism in Eukaryota, Metazoa, Chordata, Mammalia, Carnivora, Mustelidae. The record is from RefSeq and is a predicted model, not a curated record.
CUGUUCUUUGUUUAACACGGAGCAUUGGUUUUGCUCUAAAUAGGUGACAUUGCAGGAAACGAGAACGUGAGUUAAAGCAGAUUUUAAAAAACAUUUAAAAUGCGUUAAGUGAUAUUUGUUAUACUUACAAUCUUUAAUGAUUUUAUCUACUUUUCAUGCUGCACAAGGAUUCAUUCCCAGGUUAAUUGGUUGAGGUAAGGAAUGUAGCAAAAGGUAUUUUUGAGCCUUUGCAAAGAAAUUUUGUUUUUGCUUCAUUAUUCUUGAAAUACGUUAUAAGCAGAUGAUCUUAUUUUUAAGUAUCUGUGGUAAUAUAAGUUAGAAAUUAAGUUUUGAUAUAAAUUUUUUUUUUAAAAUACGAACUUCUUAAUAUGUAUUUCUGGUUUUCUGAAAUGACCAUUGCUGAUACUUUUUCGCUUCAUUGGGAAAUAAGUUCUGAGUGUAAUUAGAAAUCUGAGUGUGUCUACAGCUGUGUCUGGAUUACUGUAGAAGGCGUGCCCGGUGAUUUCCACUCUGCCCACGUAAUUUGGUUACAGUUUGUAUAUAACAAUGCUGUUGCUCUAGCAUAAAUGACCAUUUAAAAAAAUAUGUUUGUUUUUUUAAUAAUGGUUGAGGGUGUACCUAGGGCUUUCCUGAGUUGGUUUUAAGUGAACUUUUUAUAAUACAUGGAAGUUGUGUGUCUGGUGGCAGACACGACCAGUGGCUGCCCAGGUCCCCCUCGUGAGGCAGGUGUAUGCAUCCGCCUAGGUCCACAGCCGUGCCCUCCUGCAGGCACCCCCGCUCUGCUGACAGCCUGUGGCCAGCUGGCAGGAGGUGGGUUCCGGAAGGCUGGCCCCUGCAUCAGGGCGGGACCCACACUGAGGCGGCUGACAGCCCAGGCCCGAUCCGAACACCAGCUGAAACCACAUGAUCCCUCCCCUUCCCCAUCAGCUCCUCUCACUUCCCUCAGGGUUUGUGCCCAGAGCAGUUCAAGCAUCAGAACCCCUGUCUCAGGCUCUGUACUUGGGGGCCUCUCCUGCACGGCCACAGGUCCUGGACGCCUCGGCCCUCAGCUUCAACACCAGGCUGAAGUGGUUCGUCAUCUGCUUCGUGUGCGGCAUUUUCUUCUCUGUCCUGGGGACCGGAUUGCUGUGGCUUCCUGGUGGCAUAAAGCUGUUUGCGGUGUUUUAUACCUUUGGAAAUCUCGCCGCGCUCGCCAGUACCUGCUUUCUAAUGGGACCCGUGAAGCAGCUGAAGAAGAUGUUUGAAACAACGAGAUUGCUCGCAACGAUUAUUAUGCUCCUCUGUUUCGUAUUUACCCUGUGUGCUGCUCUUUGGGUAAGUUCCACCCGCCGGGCCUGGCUUCUACUAACGGUGGCCCCGCACCUGUGUCGUCACGCCGCCGUCCCAGAGGAGCUCAGGGUCUGGUGUCUAAAACCCCCAAAGGUUGGGGGUCCCUAAGAUUGUGUGCGGUAACGUCAGCUUAGUGGCUGGACUGGGGAGCAACCCUGCUGUCCAGAACGGACAGUGGCACCGGAAGGGCCUGGCCUUACUCUUCUGCGUCCUGCAGUUCUUGUCCAUGACCUGGUACGUCUCCCUGACGAGAGCGCUAACAUUCCCUAAGCGGUGAUGAGCAGUUUGAGCCCUUGAGCUGGGGACGUCGGGAGGCUGUCCCGGGGUGAGGGCUGUGCCCUGGAGGCCGGGCCUCCCUCGAGGUCAGAUGGGUGAGAUCUGUGCUGUGUCCCUGGGGACUCGCCGGUCGCCCAGUGGAGGGGUGGGGGUCGCCGCAGCGGGGCUGCUGGGCCGGCUCGCUCACACCGUGACGCGCUUGCUGCCUGCUGGGUACGUGGGAGAGAAACGGUGGGGGUGUAGGCGAUGUCGAUGCCAUGUGAGUCCUUAGAAGGGAGGCUGUCCCGGGAGAAGCCCUGGAUGGCGUUGGUGACUGUUCCCUUUGUGCCAUACCGCUGAGUACUUAGGGUCGAUUUCCUCUGCUAACUGGGGACCUGUCACAUCUGGCGCGGAGGCGGUCCCAUCGGACUCAUCAGUGAGGACGGUCAGCCGUUCACCUCGGGGCUGAGGGGCUCGUCCCCCGCUCGUCGAACACCUGUGUGUAAGCUUUGACUGCCCAGAGCCCCCCACGGAGAGGCUGCUGGUGACUCCAGGCCGAGCAGCCCGUGUUCUCUGUCUGACGUGCUGUAUUCUCAGGCCUGUUUCGUAACUCAUUCUGGGCUUCCUAGGCCAUGUGGUUCAUCUGCAAGGUUUUCCAAAUGGUUGCAAAUCCCCAACAAAAGAGUUCCCCAAGUAUUUAUUGAAAAAAAAAAAAAUCCACGUUUAGGUGGCUCGGGAAGUCAGCCGCAGAAACUGUAGAUCCUGCUGCUCGCGUGUCCCCGGUCCCCUUCUAGGCGCACUCCGUGGCACCCCUGCGCCCUGCUCACGUGCCGCUCCAGCAGGCACCCAGUCCCACUGCAUCAGGGGCCCGGUGCACAGGGGAUCGAAUUGGAUGAGCCCCGCCCCACGUACCUCCGUGUCCUUCCUGACACAGGCGUUUCUGGAGUCCGUCCCCUUCUCACUAGAGCUCUUUGUCUGCUCCCAAGAGUCCGCCCGUUCCCCCCGAGUGGCUGUCUUCCGUCCCCCUGAGAGCAGUCUCCGCUCUGGCCCCGGGUCUCCCUCCACCCGAUGGCUGGGGCCCCGUCGGGGGCCGCAUGCGCUUCUGCACCUGUGGGCUCGCUGUUUCCGUGAGCCGUGGCUCCUUUCAGCCAGAUUCCAUGGCUUUUCCUGUAAUAUGUUGCUUUUUUCUAUUGCCUCAGUGGUACUUAAUGACCUUACUCCCUAAGGGAGAAUGCAGUUUAUCCCCAGUUAUCUUACGGUUUUUACUAAAACAACACCAGGGUCAUUUCUAGUAUCCCCAGCUCAGACUUCAGCAGGCGGCAGGGGCCCGGAGGGUUCGUGCAGGAGGUGGGGGGUGGGGCACAGGCAUUUGCAUCUUUAAUCCGUGCCUGCCUGUCUGGGGGUCUGGGGUCCUGCUGGGAGGAUUGCCGCACAGUGUCCUGUAGCCGUAUUUUCUGUGGUGUGGCAGUAGGGCCCCUUGGCUCUCGGAGGAACGGUGUGCGGACGGUCUCAACACGUGUGAACUUUUC